This 72-nucleotide transfer RNA is filed under the name Clostridiales bacterium. Its description in RNAcentral is "tRNA-Ala". It matches the Rfam family "tRNA". From Rfam's summary of the family: Transfer RNA (tRNA) molecules are approximately 80 nucleotides in length. Their secondary structure includes four short double-helical elements and three loops (D, anti-codon, and T loops). Lineage: Bacteria; Bacillati; Bacillota; Clostridia; Eubacteriales. The record is from RNAcentral.
GGGGGUAUGGCAUAGGGGUAAUGCGUUCGCUUCGCAUGCGAGAGAUCGAGGGUUCGAAUCCCUCUACCUCCA